This 95-nucleotide non-coding RNA is filed under the name uncultured Clostridium sp. Its description in RNAcentral is "NiCo riboswitch". It matches the Rfam family "NiCo (Nickel/Cobalt) riboswitch aptamer". Lineage: Bacteria; Bacillati; Bacillota; Clostridia; Eubacteriales; Clostridiaceae. The record is from RNAcentral.
ACAGUACAAACUGAGCAGGCGAUGAACUUUUUUAUAAGUUCGUGGGGCCGGGCCUUAAUUGGCAGCAGGAUGAUAACACAUACCUGUGGGACAGU